This 618-nucleotide ribosomal RNA is filed under the name Triticum aestivum (bread wheat). Its description in RNAcentral is "partial small subunit ribosomal RNA". The record is from RNAcentral. Lineage: Eukaryota; Viridiplantae; Streptophyta; Magnoliopsida; Poales; Poaceae.
AUGAAAGAGGCGAUCAGAAUGGUACCCGAAUCCAUUUACGAUCCCGAGUUUCCAGACACAUCGCACUUCCGCUCGGGUCGAGGCUGCCACUCGGCCCUCAGACGGAUCAAAGAAGAGUGGGGAACCUCUCGCUGGUUUUUGGAAUUCGACAUCAGGAAGUGUUUUCACACCAUCGACCGACAUCGAUUCAUCUCAAUCUUGAAGGAAGAGAUCGACGAUUCCAAGUUCUUUUACCCCACUCAGAAAAAGUUUUCCACCGGACGACUCGUAGGGGGUGAGAAGGGCCCUGACUCCAUCCCAAACAGUGUACUACUACCGGCCCUACCAGGAAAUAUCUACCUACACAAGCUCGAUCAGGAGAUAGGGAGGAUCCGGCAGAAUCACGAAAUUCCUCUUGUAGUGAAAAUAAGAUCGGUUCUAUUAAGAAUAGGUCGUCGUAUUGAUGACCAAGAAAAGUAUGGAAAAGAAGCAAGCUUCAACGCUCCCCAAGACAACAGAGCCCUCAUAGUGGGGAGGGUAAAGAGCAUCCAACGCAAAGCGACCUUUCAUUCCCUUGUUUCAUCGUGGCACACCCCCCCCCCCACAAGCACCCCCACGCGAAGGGGAGACCAGAAAACG